UGCAGGAGAGGAGGAUGAAGAAGAAGAAGAGCCCGAGACAAAUGAUGGUGCUGAAAAUAAUGACGAUGAGGAUGGUGAGGAUGAUGACGAUGAGAAUGACGAGGAUGAUGACGAUGAGAAUGACGAGGACGAGGACGAGGAUGAGGAUGAGGACGAAGAACCAGACGAGGACGAGGAGGAGGAAAUUCCCCAGCCACCAGCAAAAAAGAGGAAGGACGAGGAGGAAGACCCAGAAGAGGAUGACGAGGAGAUUCCCCAGCCACCAGCUAAAAAGAGGAAAUGAG
This 284-nucleotide long non-coding RNA is filed under the name Olea europaea (common olive). RNAcentral's name for it is "long non-coding RNA (OEUR_LNC009518)". Lineage: Eukaryota; Viridiplantae; Streptophyta; Magnoliopsida; Lamiales; Oleaceae. The record is from RNAcentral.